UACGUAGGGGGCUAGCGUUGCUCGGAAUUACUGGGCGUAAAGGGCGCGUAGGCGGACAGUUUAGUCAGAGGUGAAAGCCCAGGGCUCAACCUUGGAAUUGCCUUUGAUACUGGCUGUCUUGAGUUCGGGAGAGGUGAGUGGAAUGCCGAGUGUAGAGGUGAAAUUCGUAGAUAUUCGGCGGAACACCAGUGGCGAAGGCGACUCACUGGCCCGAUACUGACGCUGAGGCGCGAAAGCGUGGGGAGCAAACAGG
This 253-nucleotide ribosomal RNA is filed under the name uncultured bacterium. RNAcentral's name for it is "partial 16S ribosomal RNA". It matches the Rfam family "Bacterial small subunit ribosomal RNA", at positions 524 to 776 of the family's 1533-position model. The record is from RNAcentral.